GACGAACGCUGGCGGCGUGCCUAAUACAUGCAAGUAGAACGCUGAAGACUUUAGCUUGCUAAAGUUGGAAGAGUUGCGAACGGGUGAGUAACGCGUAGGUAACCUGCCUACUAGCGGGGGAUAACUAUUGGAAACGAUAGCUAAUACCGCAUAACAGCAUUUAACCCAUGUUAGAUGCUUGAAAGGAGCAAUUGCUUCACUAGUAGAUGGACCUGCGUUGUAUUAGCUAGUUGGUGAGGUAACGGCUCACCAAGGCGACGAUACAUAGCCGACCUGAGAGGGUGAUCGGCCACACUGGGACUGAGACACGGCCCAGACUCCUACGGGAGGCAGCAGUAGGGAAUCUUCGGCAAUGGGGGCAACCCUGACCGAGCAACGCCGCGUGAGUGAAGAAGGUUUUCGGAUCGUAAAGCUCUGUUGUAAGAGAAGAACGUGUGUGAGAGUGGAAAGUUCACACAGUGACG
Molecule: ribosomal RNA, 464 nt
Filed under: uncultured bacterium
Lineage: Bacteria
Description: bacterial SSU rRNA
Rfam family: Bacterial small subunit ribosomal RNA
Source: RNAcentral